Non-coding RNA from Acanthosepion pharaonis, 95 nucleotides. NCBI's taxonomy places the organism in Eukaryota, Metazoa, Mollusca, Cephalopoda, Sepiida, Sepiidae. The record is from the annotation of a GenBank genome assembly.
CGUUGUAACACUGGUUCCUGUACAGUCACCAAAGUUAAACAACGUUGAGCCUGGUCAGUACCUCGGUGGGUGACUGCCUGAGAAUACCAGGUGCU